Daphnia pulex (common water flea) is the source of this 1098-nucleotide long non-coding RNA. RefSeq lists it as uncharacterized. NCBI's taxonomy places the organism in Eukaryota, Metazoa, Arthropoda, Branchiopoda, Diplostraca, Daphniidae. The record is from RefSeq and is a predicted model, not a curated record. The transcript has 9 exons.
AGUCCUGUUAGAAAUCACGCCAGGAGACCUUUUUGGCAACGUUGUUUAAACCAAUGGUUUUCUUGUUUUCUUAUAAGGAAAGAAAGAUUUAAAUAAUCAUUCUUGUCUCAGCUGCUGUAUGAUUCAGAGGUAUUGGUUGUUCCUUCAUCUUACAGAAAUCUGAUGUCAUUCUCACGUGGCGAUGUAAAUUGGGGCCACUGACUUGAUAUGGCAGCUGGGAUGAAACCACGAGUAAGUCAAGUCUGGUGCAGGUCUGGUUGUUGAUGGCGGCUUCAUUGCUUGGUUUAUUCAAUGCAGGCUGUUCGCUAGUUGGCAAUUUCGAGGGAAACUACGCGGCACAGUGUGGGUCUGCGUGGAUGGAUUCGGCGGUUAAGUAUCGCAAAACUCUACAAGCAGUAUCCGCCGACCUGGGUUUCAGCUGUACGUUUCCGUGUUCUUUUGAAUUACAUUUGAAACCUGAAAAUAUUCUGUGUGGACAAUACUUCUUACUGAUGUUGAAUGGGUUUUUCUUUAAAAAAAACACUUUUAAACAUUCAUUUAUGUUGUCAGGAUUCACUGUCAGUGGUAGUUAUCAACGGUUUGAUGGCGGGCUGUCCGGUCUUUUACUUAAAAUCAGGGGACAGACACUUUGAUGGUACGAUACUGUCCAGAUCGUUUCUUCCUGAACAAGUAAAACUGCAUUGCUAAUGUUGGCUUUUGCCUCUCCUGGUAUCAUUGUGCUUUCUGGCAGUAACAAAGGGAUGAAUGCUUCGGAAUCCUGGCCAUCUGAAGUUGGGACUAAAAUGUGAAAUACACAUGAUGGUUGGCUGAAUUAAAGGCGACAUUGGUGUAACACGCGUUUGGAGAUUAGGUUUUUGAGCGAACUGGCUGAAAUAUUGGUCCCAUCUCAAAUGUAAAGUUGAUUGUUCCCAGGUAUUAGUUUUGGCGUACCGGAAAGUUUGGGGUAAGAACAGAAACAAGAUGGUUCGCAAGAUUUUAUUUGAGUAAUUUGCUUUCAUGACCUGUCAAAUUGUCCGAAAUGUUUAAAUUGGGGAUACAAACUUAAGUUUCUGUCGACAGGUUUUAUGAUGUAAACCAAUACAAAUGCUUAACUGUGUA